Molecule: ribosomal RNA, 203 nt
Filed under: Fusarium equiseti
Lineage: Eukaryota; Fungi; Ascomycota; Sordariomycetes; Hypocreales; Nectriaceae
Description: 5.8S ribosomal RNA
Rfam family: 5.8S ribosomal RNA (bases 48-201)
About the family: 5.8S ribosomal RNA (5.8S rRNA) is a component of the large subunit of the eukaryotic ribosome. It is transcribed by RNA polymerase I as part of the 45S precursor that also contains 18S and 28S rRNA.
Source: RNAcentral
ACUCUGUUUUUAGUGGAACUUCUGAGUAAAACAAACAAAUAAAUCAAAACUUUCAACAACGGAUCUCUUGGUUCUGGCAUCGAUGAAGAACGCAGCAAAAUGCGAUAAGUAAUGUGAAUUGCAGAAUUCAGUGAAUCAUCGAAUCUUUGAACGCACAUUGCGCCCGCCAGUAUUCUGGCGGGCAUGCCUGUUCGAGCGUCAUU